GGUCCAGAAGCUCAAUGAGAGAGCCUUAAGACCUAUGGAUCUGUGCUGUGGGUUCAAGUCCCGCCUGGACCU
Molecule: transfer RNA, 72 nt
Filed under: Marchantia polymorpha subsp. ruderalis
Lineage: Eukaryota; Viridiplantae; Streptophyta; Marchantiopsida; Marchantiales; Marchantiaceae
Rfam family: tRNA
About the family: Transfer RNA (tRNA) molecules are approximately 80 nucleotides in length. Their secondary structure includes four short double-helical elements and three loops (D, anti-codon, and T loops).
Source: Rfam by way of RNAcentral